This 440-nucleotide ribosomal RNA is filed under the name uncultured bacterium. Its description in RNAcentral is "partial 16S ribosomal RNA". It matches the Rfam family "Bacterial small subunit ribosomal RNA", at positions 338 to 795 of the family's 1533-position model. The record is from RNAcentral.
CCUACGGGAGGCAGCAGUAGGGAAUAUUGCUCAAUGGGGGAAACCCUGAAGCAGCAACGCCGCGUGGAGGAUGAAGGUUUUCGGAUUUUAAACUCCUUUUGUUAGAGAAGAUAAUGACGGUAUCUAACGAAUAAGCACCGGCUACCUCCGUGCCAGCAGCCGCGGUAAUACGGAGGGUGCAAGCGUUACUCGGAAUCACUGGGCGUAAAGAGCGCGUAGGCGGGAUAGCAAGUCAGAUGUGAAAGCCUAUGGCUUAACCAUAGAACUGCAUUUGAAACUGUUAUUCUAGAGUAUGGGAGAGGUAGGUGGAAUUCUUGGUGUAGGGGUAAAAUCCGUAGAGAUCAAGAGGAAUACUCAUUGCGAAGGCGACCUGCUAGAACAUAACUGACGCUGAUGCGCGAAAGCGUGGGGAGCAAACAGGAUUAGAUACCCUAGUAGUC